UUGCAGAAUCCCGUGAAUCAUCGAAACUUUGAACGCACCUUGCGCUCCCGGGAUAUGCCUGGGAGCAUGCUUGUCGGGGAGGAGGAGG
This 88-nucleotide ribosomal RNA is filed under the name Landsburgia quercifolia. Its description in RNAcentral is "partial 5.8S ribosomal RNA". It matches the Rfam family "5.8S ribosomal RNA", at positions 72 to 154 of the family's 154-position model. Rfam says of the family: 5.8S ribosomal RNA (5.8S rRNA) is a component of the large subunit of the eukaryotic ribosome. It is transcribed by RNA polymerase I as part of the 45S precursor that also contains 18S and 28S rRNA. The record is from RNAcentral. Lineage: Eukaryota; Phaeophyceae; Fucales; Sargassaceae.